GAUGAACGCUGGCGGCGUGCUUAACACAUGCAAGUCGAACGGUAAAGGCGUACCUUGCUCUGCUGCACCAGUGGCGAACGGGUGAGUAACACGUGAGCAACCUGCCCCUGACUCUGGGAUAAGCGCUGGAAACUGCGGCUAAUACCGGAUACGAGCUGCGACGGCAUCUUCAGCAGCUGGAAAUAACGUCGGUCGGGGAUGAGCUCGCGGCUUAUCAGCUUGUUGGUGGGGUAACGGCUUACCAAGGCGUCGACGGGUAGCCGGCCUGAGAGGGUGACCGGCCACAUUGGGACUGAGACACGGCCCAGACUCCUACGGGAGGCAGCAGUGGGGAAUAUUGCACAAUGGGCGGAAGCCUGAUGCAGCAACGCCGCGUGCGGGACGACGGCCUUCGGGUUGUAAACCGCUUUUGGCAGGGAAGAAGCGAAAGUGACGGUAACUGCAGAAGAAGCGCCGGCUAACUACGUG
RNAcentral lists this ribosomal RNA (468 nucleotides) under uncultured bacterium. RNAcentral's name for it is "partial 16S ribosomal RNA". It matches the Rfam family "Bacterial small subunit ribosomal RNA", at positions 28 to 507 of the family's 1533-position model. The record is from RNAcentral.